Molecule: ribosomal RNA, 275 nt
Filed under: uncultured bacterium
Lineage: Bacteria
Description: partial 16S ribosomal RNA
Rfam family: Bacterial small subunit ribosomal RNA
Source: RNAcentral
GCGUGGGCGAUGAAGGCCUUCGGGUUGUAAAGCCCUUUUGCACGCGACGAUGAUGACGGUAGCGUGAGAAGAAGCCCCGGCUAACUUCGUGCCAGCAGCCGCGGUAAUACGAAGGGGGCGAGCGUUGUUCGGAAUUACUGGGCGUAAAGGGCGCGCAGGCGGCCUUAGAAGUCAGAUGUGAAAGCCCCGGGCUCAACCUGGGAAUGGCAUUUGAUACUCUGAGGCUGGAGUACGGGAGAGGAGAGUGGAAUUCCCAGUGUAGAGGUGAAAUUCGU